RNAcentral lists this ribosomal RNA (253 nucleotides) under uncultured bacterium. RNAcentral describes it as "partial 16S ribosomal RNA". It matches the Rfam family "Bacterial small subunit ribosomal RNA", at positions 524 to 776 of the family's 1533-position model. The record is from RNAcentral.
UACGGGGGGAGCAAACGUUGCUCGGAAUCACUGGGCGUAAAGGGCGCGUAGGCGGCCAGAUAAGUGGGGUGUUAAAUCUCCCGGCUCAACCGGGAACCUGCACCUCAUACUGCCUGGCUUGAGUACAGCAGAGGAGACUGGAAUUCCCGGUGUAGCGGUGAAAUGCGUAGAUAUCGAGAGGAACACCUGCGGCGAAGGCGGGUUGCUGGGCUGACACUGACGCUGAGGCGCGAAAGCUAGGGGAGCGAACGGG